UACAGAGGUCUCGAGCGUUUGUUCGGAUUCAUUGGGCGUAAAGGGUGCGUAGGCGGCGGGGUAAGUCUGAUGUGAAAUCCCGGGGCUCAACCCCGGAACUGCAUUGGAUACUGCCCUGCUUGAGUACUGGAGAGGAGACUGGAAUUUACGGUGUAGCGUGAAAUGCGUAGAUAUCGUAAGGAAGACCAGUGGCGAAGGCGGAUCUCUGGACAGUAC
Molecule: ribosomal RNA, 216 nt
Filed under: uncultured bacterium
Lineage: Bacteria
Description: partial 16S ribosomal RNA
Rfam family: Bacterial small subunit ribosomal RNA
Source: RNAcentral